UACAGAGGUCUCAAGCGUUGUUCGGAUUCAUUGGGCGUAAAGGGUGCGUAGGCGGCGCGGUAAGUCGGGUGUGAAAUCUCGGAGCUUAACUCCGAAACUGCAUUCGAUACUGCCGUGCUUGAGGACUGGAGAGGAGACUGGAAUUUGCGGUGUAGCGGUGAAAUGCGUAGAUAUCGUAAGGAAGACCAGUGGCGAAGGCGGGUCUCUGGACAGUUCCUGACGCUGAGGCACGAAGGUCAGGGGAGCAAACGGG
This 253-nucleotide ribosomal RNA is filed under the name uncultured bacterium. Its description in RNAcentral is "partial 16S ribosomal RNA". It matches the Rfam family "Bacterial small subunit ribosomal RNA", at positions 524 to 776 of the family's 1533-position model. The record is from RNAcentral.